Dreissena polymorpha is the source of this 389-nucleotide long non-coding RNA. RefSeq lists it as uncharacterized. The record is from RefSeq and is a predicted model, not a curated record. NCBI's taxonomy places the organism in Eukaryota, Metazoa, Mollusca, Bivalvia, Myida, Dreissenidae. The transcript has 3 exons.
CAGUCAAUCACUCCAUUUAACCCUAAUAGAUACCAGCAACUUGGAGAACAGACAGGUCUCUCAAACAAGAGGGAAGAUUCCAAUCAGCAAUUUGUGGCGAGUGUUUUGACAGAGCCCCAGGGUACAUCUGUUGUGCAGUCUGCCUCAAGCACUCUGGCACAGUCCUAUGGCACCAUGACAACCACCCAACCAACCAGACAGACGGACGGAGAUACAUGAAUGGGGAGAGAGGGGAUAAAUAGCCUGAGAAUAUUGUUGGAAUAAUUUAUCGUAAAUGUCUUUUAAGUGUAUUUUGGUAUAAAGCCAUUCUAUGAAGAAUUUUUAUAUUUCAAAGUAAAAUGGGAUAGCAAGAGUUUCUAAGUUUUUAUUUUUGAUGAUUUUUUCUCAAA